CUUGCCUGCCAUGAGAAGAAAUUGCUCUUUCCAUAAAACUUGUUGAUCUCCAUCUUGAUUGAUCCUGUCUUCUCCAUCUUUAGUCUUGUUCACCACCGCUGCAAUCUACAUCCUUGUACCGCCUUACUCAGAUACCACUUGUAGGGUAGAUGUCUGGCCAGGAUACCAUCUCGUAAGAUCUUUUCGAUACCACAUGAUGCAGCAGGAAGAAAAAAGAAAUAAAAUAGAAAACAAUCAAAAUACGUGGAUCAGCCAAAAAAGGGCUCGCCUCCAUGGGGUAUGCAAACUUCACUAUGAGAAAGAAAUUUUACAAGAGGAGAUUUCACCCUCAACCCUCAUACACCCAAUUUUUCUCUCACAAAAAAUUUUCUCUCGCAAAAGCUCUCUCUCUCUUGGAAGAUCCCUCUGAACCCCUAAAGUGACUACUGUCUGCUGUCCAGAAGCCUCCUGCUCCUUCUCUCCACAGUGUCACGGUCUCUAUCUCUCUUCACGGGCUCGGGCUCUUCACUAUUGAAGGCUGUGUGCACUGCACAGGACCACCAGCCGAACCACACAAGGCCACACACCCCACUAUUCACUAUAUAGGCCUUUUUACAGGCUUAAACACUCAAUUAGGAAGUGAUUAGGAGCCCUAAACAAAGCCAAGUAUCCUUCCCAGCCGUUGG
RNAcentral lists this long non-coding RNA (665 nucleotides) under Elaeis guineensis (African oil palm). RNAcentral's name for it is "long non-coding RNA (EGUI_LNC009718)". Lineage: Eukaryota; Viridiplantae; Streptophyta; Magnoliopsida; Arecales; Arecaceae. The record is from RNAcentral.